RNAcentral lists this ribosomal RNA (1479 nucleotides) under uncultured Bordetella sp. RNAcentral's name for it is "partial 16S-23S ribosomal RNA intergenic spacer". It matches the Rfam family "Bacterial small subunit ribosomal RNA". Lineage: Bacteria; Pseudomonadati; Pseudomonadota; Betaproteobacteria; Burkholderiales; Alcaligenaceae. The record is from RNAcentral.
GUUCGAUUCUGGCUCAGAUUGAACGCUGGCGGGAUGCUUUACACAUGCAAGUCGAACGGCAGCACGGACUUCGGUCUGGUGGCGAGUGGCGAACGGGUGAGUAAUGUAUCGGAACGUGCCUAGUAGCGGGGGAUAACUACGCGAAGACGUAGCUAUUACCGCAUACGCCCUUCGAGGAAAGCGGGGGACCUUCGGGCCUCGCACUAUUAGAGCGGCCGAUAUCGGAUUGGCUAAUUGGUGGGGUAACGGCUCGCAAGGCGACGAUCCGUAGCUGGUUUGAAGGACGACCAGCCACACUGGGACUGAGACACGGCAGACUCCCCUUACAGAGAGCAGCAGUGGGGAAUUUUGGACAAUGGGGAAACCCUGAUCCAGCCAUCCCGCGUGUGCGAUGAAGGCCUUCGGGUUGUAAAGCACUUUUUUGGCAGGAAAGAAACGGCACGGGAUAAUACCCCGUGCAACUGACGGUACCUGCAGAAUAAGCACCGGCUAACUACGUGCCAGCAGCCGCGGUAAUACGUAGAGGGUGCAAGCGUUAAUCGGAAUUACUGGGCGUAAAGCGUGCGCAGGCGGUUCGGAAAGAAAGAUGUGAAAUCAGAGCUUAACUUUGGAACUGCAUUUUUAACUACCGAGCUAGAGUGUGUCAGAGGAGGUGGAAUUUAACGUGUAGCAGUGAAAUGCGUAGAUAAUAUGAGGAACACCGAUGGCGAAGGCAGCCUCCUGGGAUAACACUGACGCUCAUGCACAGCGUGGGGAGCAAACAGGAUUAGAUACCCUGGUAGUCCACGCCCUAAACGAUGUCAACUAGCUGUUGGGGCCUUCGGGCCUUGGUAGCGCAACUAACGCGUGAAGUUGACCGCCUGGGGAGUACGGUCGCAAGAUUAAAACUCAAAGGAAUUGACGGGGACCCGCACAAGCGGUGGAUGAUGUGGAUUAAUUCGAUGCAACGCAAAAACAACCUACCCUUGACAUGUCUGGAAUCCCGAAGAGAUUUGGGAGUGCUCGCAAGAGAACCGGAACACAGGUGCUGCAUGGCUGUCGUCAGCUCGUGUCGUGAGAUGUUGGGUUAAGUCCCGCAACGAGCGCAGCCCUUGUCAUUAGUUGCUGUACGAAGGCACUCUAAUGAGACUGCCGGUGACAAACCGGAGGAAGGUGGGGAUGACGUCAAGUCCUCAUAACCCUUAUGGGUAGGGCUUCACACGUCAUACAAUGGUCGGGACAGAGGGUCGCCAACCCGCGAGGGGAGCCAAUCCAAGAAACCCGAUCGUAGUCCGGAUCGCAGUCUGCAACUCGACUGCGUAUGAAGUCGGAAUCUAACUAGUAAUCGCGGAUCGGCAUGUCGCGGUGAAUGCGUUCCCGGGUCUUGUACACGCCCGUCACACCAUGGGAGUGGGUUUUACCAGAAGUAGUUAGCCUAACCGUAAGGAGGGCGAUUACCACGGUAGGAUUCAUGACUGGGGUGAAGUCGUAACAAGGUAA